This 67-nucleotide transfer RNA is filed under the name Marmota monax (woodchuck). RNAcentral's name for it is "tRNA.Ala". The record is from RNAcentral. Lineage: Eukaryota; Metazoa; Chordata; Mammalia; Rodentia; Sciuridae.
GGUUAUGGCUCAAUGGUAGAGCACUCACCUAGCAUGUGCAAGGCCCUGGGUUUGAUCCUCAGCACCA